Long non-coding RNA from Lolium rigidum, 2806 nucleotides. RefSeq lists it as uncharacterized. Lineage: Eukaryota; Viridiplantae; Streptophyta; Magnoliopsida; Poales; Poaceae. The record is from RefSeq and is a predicted model, not a curated record. The transcript is spliced from 4 exons.
CCCUCGCCGCCGCCUCUCUUCCGCACUCAUCUGCAGCAGGCACGGGCCUAGCCCUCCUCUAUCGACCUUCCAUCCAUCAACCUCGCCGUCAACUACUCCUUCAUCUUCUGAUUCGCCUAGAUCGGCUCCCACCCACGAUACAAGCGGUGUCCAUUGAGGUCAAGAUGUGGAGCUCAGAGAUGGUCGCACAAUAGUGAGGUGACAUUGUCAAGGUAACUAUCAGCGUAUAUCCAACGCUGGGGCUCCUCCUCGACUGUAGCCAAAGAGAUACAAUAAUAUCUGGUGCCUGAAUGUAGAAGAAAGUAGCUUGACUGGAGUAAAUGUUUCAGUUCUUGUGUUUGUCGUGUGAUCUCCAUUUUUCCAUCUAUGGAGCUAACUGAAUAAUGGGGAAAGGUGAUUUCAAACAACACCCCAGUUUGAGAAUUCCAUUGGAUCAGAGUUUAUUUCACUAUAACCUUGGAUAUGAGCUUAUUUUCUGGAUUUGUUCUUUGCAGUGACUUUACCUAUGGUUUUCUUGAAUGUGUUUAGAAAGGAGCAGAGGAACCGAUCACUCAUGUUGCUGGCAAGAUAGUUGUUUCAUCGUCAGAAUCAGGGAGAAUCUGGUAGGAUGGUGUUGUUGACUGGUGGCUCCUUUAGAAGAUGGUUCAAUAUGGAAGGGCAUGUUGAUCUCUCAAUGAUUUUGUUAUUCACUGAGUACUGAAUGCAUGGGGAUUGCACCUUUGCAUGGACACUUCGUUGUUCUGCUGUCACCGGUAUGGCCUACAUUUGCAUGGUUCGAUAGAGCUAUCAUGGUCGGUUCGGGGCUUUGGCAGCAAUCGUGUUGGCCGGGAUCACAUGGCGCUUGCUAUCCUCGAGGCAGUGAGAUUCUUCUAAGUGAGUUUCAGCUUCCAUACAAAGCAUUGCCAAACUCAGAAUUUGAGGUAUUGGCUAUGAACACUAAUAGAGAAAUUGAGCAAUUGACUUCUGCUCUACAGUGUCAAAGUACUGAAAUUAUUGUUUUCGUGGUCUACAAAGUGAUGAAAGAAAGCUUCCAUAAUCCAUUGAAAUUCUUGUUUUAAAGGUUUAGAUUAUGAAAGACACUUAACUAGGUACACAAGUACAGAACGACAGGAGUUACACCAUGAUAGAAUGGCUAAUGGCUAAUUCUGCCAAGAACUUCCAAUCUUCAAAUAAGCCAGACAAUGAGAAGAAAUACUGGAGCACAUUGGUUGCUUCUCUAGCAAAAGGAAAUUCACCCAAGACCAUAAAUAAUAUCGUUCCAAAACAAUUGAUCUUGAACAUGGAGUGAACCGGUUAGGCAGCAUCCUUUUUCGCAAAGGCCAUUGCGCUCAAGGCAGCAGGGAGGCUUUUCAAAUCUAGAUGUCCCUUUAUAUAGAAUUCUGUAAAGCAUUGAAGUUCUUUGAAAUCAUCCUUGUAUAAGGAUUCAGCGAUGGGCACCCCUCAAAUUUGUGAUGCAAGGGAUUCAGGUAAUUUAUUCCUUAGCUCUUCAGAGGCUUGGAUGUCAUCAGGUGUACAAGCUUCUUGUUUUUUCUGUUUAAAUGAGAUUUUCUUUUGCAAAUUGCGGGCUACCUCAAUAUUGUGUUACUUACUCUAUGUGCGUGAAGAUAAAUGAAAGAAUACUUCUCCUGUUUCUAUUGUUUAUCUAGAUGACUUCACAUAAGUUGAUGAUAGCACUAUUAUACUCCAGUAUGGAACUAUACUUGCAAGCUGCAACCAUAAAUGGCUUGAUGAUUGUGGCUAAUAUAACUAUAGCUGCCUUCAUAUUCAGCUUGUAACUGUUUUAGUCCAUCCAAUUUAACACAUUUUUUCCCUAUAACUAGCUGAAUUCCCGUCUGGUGCAGCUAUGGUUAGAAAAAACUCAAUCUGGUGGAAACGCCACAAAAGCCCAAUGAUAUGAAUAGCUUGCAAAUUGAAGAACUAUAUACACAAUCAUAUUUAUUACAUAUUAAAGCCCCAAAACAAGAUGGUAGAUAUCACGGAGAGGUGGUACUACUUAUCAGAAAGUUACUUUGGGUGGAGGGGAGGUGAAAUAGCACACGUACCAUCUAGCUCCUAUAUUCAUAGGAGUGUAACUAUAAUAUUCUUAUGUGCCGAAUUUUGGGUCCAACAUAGAGCUAUAACCAUGCUAGGUUUGGGCUAAGUCAACCUUCAGCGGAAAUUACUUAUUUGCUUUGAGUUGGUGUAGAGUUUGUUUAGCCAUAGUUUCUGAUUGGCCCUCUGCUGCAGACUUAGCUUUUUGAACUUUGUGCUGAACUAAAAGUCAGAGAGAGACGAGACUACAAAUGUAUGUAUACAGUUUCCCUUUCCAACAUAUUUUAGCACUAACUAUGGCAAUGUAUACUUACCUUGUUCACCAGUACAAUCAAUUAGAAUAAGCGUCGAUAUUGCAACAAUAUAUCAGUGUAUCUCGUCUGCUUGCAGUUUCAGUAGUAGUUUUGUUAACAGUUUUGCCAUCCUGUACACCUUGAAGGAACAAUCAGUACUGAUCCCCUGAAUUUGUCUCGUCAUGCCAAUCAAACAUACUGGCGAAAUCUGGUAAUUCUUCAAUUCUUGCAGUUCAGCAUUGAAGAUUUGACUGAUAAUUGUCGGUUUGUUGCCCUGAACCCAGCUACUUUGGUUGGGUGUGAUCUGGCCGUUCUGCUUGCCAGUAUAAGUGUGUCUAUUUUCCCCGUUGUAGAUUUUAUCCUUUUUGUUACUAUUUUCAAGGUAUGAUGGAAAAUGCUGCAAAAAUGUUUGUUAUACAUCCCGGUUUUCCUUGUGCUCCAUAAUUUCAUUGUACAUAUAUAUGUUCAAGAGAUGAUUUUUU